Molecule: long non-coding RNA, 500 nt
Organism: Propithecus coquereli (Coquerel's sifaka)
Lineage: Eukaryota; Metazoa; Chordata; Mammalia; Primates; Indriidae
Exons: 3
Source: RefSeq, a predicted model, not a curated record
AGGUCCCGAAGGUUCCACAGCUUCGUGUGGGUUGUAGCCCCCCAUUCUGCACAUAUGGAGGUGGGGUGGCAGGUCAGGGCUCUGCAGCAGACCUUCGGGCUUCCCUCAAAUCCAGCUAAGGCCUGCGCUGGAAGCAGAAACUGAGUUCUCCUGGCCUGCAGCGAGGAGACCUGCGUCCUGCCCCCACCCCAGGAAAUUUGCAGUGACUUUGGAGCCCAGACUGAGGAAGCAGAGGUGGCGAAAGGAGAGACAAUACCGGCCCGAAGUACAAUUAAGGGGCCAGAGCUCGUCUCUCCCCCGCCCUCCCUGCCCGACUGCAAGCUGUCUGGCCUCAAACCUCAGGGCGACACGCGAACCUGGAGCCGGAAACUCAGCCCGUGGCGGAGGCAGCCAGAGGACUCCGCAUCCAGAAAACAGGAGGAAAGCUCCCUUCCAACUUGGGGGCGCCUUAACCAACCCCGCUGAGUUGCAGAGAAUCCAAUGAAUGAAACUGCACAUUC